RNAcentral lists this ribosomal RNA (497 nucleotides) under uncultured bacterium. RNAcentral describes it as "partial 16S ribosomal RNA". It matches the Rfam family "Bacterial small subunit ribosomal RNA", at positions 28 to 507 of the family's 1533-position model. The record is from RNAcentral.
GAUGAACGCUGGCGGCGUGCCUAAUACAUGCAAGUCGAGCGAACGGACGAGAAGCUUGCUUCUCUGAUGUUAGCGGCGGACGGGUGAGUAACACGUGGAUAACCUACCUAUAAGACUGGGAUAACUUCGGGAAACCGGAGCUAAUACCGGAUAAUAUUUUGAACCGCAUGGUUCAAAAGUGAAAGACGGUCUUGCUGUCACUUAUAGAUGGAUCCGCGCUGCAUUAGCUAGUUGGUAAGGUAACGGCUUACCAAGGCAACGAUGCAUAGCCGACCUGAGAGAGUGAUCGGCCACACUGGAAAUGAGACACGGUCCAGACUCCUACGGGAGGCAGCAGUAGGGAAUCUUCCGCAAUGGGCGAAAGCCUGACGGAGCAACGCCGCGUGAGUGAUGAAGGUCUUCGGAUCGUAAAACUCUGUUAUUAGGGAAGAACAUAUGUGUAAGUAACUGUGCACAUCUUGACGGUACCUAAUCAGAAAGCCACGGCUAACUACGUG